RNAcentral lists this ribosomal RNA (543 nucleotides) under uncultured Pseudoxanthomonas sp. Its description in RNAcentral is "bacterial SSU rRNA". It matches the Rfam family "Bacterial small subunit ribosomal RNA", at positions 382 to 916 of the family's 1533-position model. Lineage: Bacteria; Pseudomonadati; Pseudomonadota; Gammaproteobacteria; Lysobacterales; Lysobacteraceae. The record is from RNAcentral.
CCUGAUCCAGCCAUACCGCGUGGGUGAAGAAGGCCUUCGGGUUGUAAAGCCCUUUUGUUGGGAAAGAAAUCCAGCCGGCUAAUACCCGGUUGGGAUGACGGUACCCAAAGAAUAAGCACCGGCUAACUUCGUGCCAGCAGCCGCGGUAAUACGAAGGGUGCAAGCGUUACUCGGAAUUACUGGGCGUAAAGCGUGCGUAGGUGGUUGUUUAAGUCUGCUGUGAAAGCCCUGGGCUCAACCUGGGAAUUGCAGUGGAUACUGGGCGACUAGAGUGUGGUAGAGGAUAGUGGAAUUUCCGGUGUAGCAGUGAAAUGCGUAAAGAUCGGAAGGAACAUCUGUGGCGAAGGCGACUAUCUGGGCCAACACUGACACUGAGGCACGAAAGCGUGGGGAGCAAACAGGAUUAGAUACCCUGGUAGUCCACGCCCUAAACGAUGCGAACUGGAUGUUGGGCACAACUUGGUGCCCAGUAUCGAAGCUAACGCGUUAAGUUCGCCGCCUGGGGAGUACGGUCGCAAGACUGAAACUCAAAGGAAUUGACGG